GGCUAAGACAUGCAAGUCGUACGGGACUGGCCGUGGGUAACUGGCGGUCGGUUCAGUGGCGGACGGGAGCGUAAUGCAUGGGUAACGUAUCCUUGACACGGGAAUAACAGCGGACCGCAAGGUUCUUUAGCGAAAGUGCUGCUAAUGCCCGAUGAAGUCGCCGGGUCGCAUGGCCUGGCGUCCAAAGGGCGGGGACCGGGUAACCGGCCUGCCGGUCUUGGAGCGGCCCAUGUCCUAUCAGCUAGUUGGUGAGGUAAUGGCUCACCAAGGCUACGACGGGUAGCGGGCGUGAGAGCGUGGCCCGCCUCAUCGGGACUGAGACACUGCCCGGACACCUACGGGUGGCUGCAGUAACGAAUCUUGGGCAAUGGGCGCAAGCCUGACCCAGCAAUGCCGCGUGCAGGAGGAAGUCCUUCGGGAUGUAAACUGCUGUCAGGGGUUUCGCAAGCAAAGCGGGUGAAUAAUCCGCCGCGUUGAGCAGACCCAAAGGAAGCCUCGGCUAACUCUGUG
Molecule: ribosomal RNA, 510 nt
Filed under: uncultured bacterium
Lineage: Bacteria
Description: bacterial SSU rRNA
Rfam family: Bacterial small subunit ribosomal RNA
Source: RNAcentral